CAUGCUGCAUUAAGUUGAAGUAAAAACACACUAAUUAGAAUUGUUUUGCAGAUGAUACUUUCUUUUGAGCUUCCAUUUUCUUUAAUUCCACUCCUUAAGUUUAGCAGCAGCAGUACCAAGAUGGGACCUCACAAGAAUUCUAUGAUUAUAAUUACUAUCUCAUGGAUACUAGGCGCUGGGAUUAUUGGUAUAAAUGUGUACUACCUCAGUACUGCUUUUGUGAAGUGGCUAAUUCAUAGUAAUCUACCAAAGGUGGCAAAUGUGUUCAUUGGGAUUAUAGUGUUUCCUCUAAUGGUAAUUUAUAUUGUCUCAGUUAUUUACCUUACCUUUAGAAAAGACACUGUUGUGACAUUUAUCGAGACGAAGAACGACACGGUAAUGGCAAGCAACGUGGAAA
This is a non-coding RNA of Cicer arietinum (chickpea), 397 nucleotides long. The record is from RefSeq and is a predicted model, not a curated record. NCBI's taxonomy places the organism in Eukaryota, Viridiplantae, Streptophyta, Magnoliopsida, Fabales, Fabaceae.